This 746-nucleotide ribosomal RNA is filed under the name Staphylococcus aureus. Its description in RNAcentral is "partial 23S ribosomal RNA". It matches the Rfam family "Bacterial large subunit ribosomal RNA", at positions 1216 to 1958 of the family's 2925-position model. The record is from RNAcentral. Lineage: Bacteria; Bacillati; Bacillota; Bacilli; Caryophanales; Staphylococcaceae.
CUUUGGACAAUGGUAGGAGAGCGUUCUAAGGGCGUUGAAGCAUGAUCGUAAGGACAUGUGGAGCGCUUAGAAGUGAGAAUGCCGGUGUGAGUAGCGAAAGACGGGUGAGAAUCCCGUCCACCGAUUGACUAAGGUUUCCAGAGGAAGGCUCGUCCGCUCUGGGUUAGUCGGGUCCUAAGCUGAGGCCGACAGGCGUAGGCGAUGGAUAACAGGUUGAUAUUCCUGUACCACCUAUAAUCGUUUUAAUCGAUGGGGGGACGCAGUAGGAUAGGCGAAGCGUGCGAUUGGAUUGCACGUCUAAGCAGUAAGGCUGAGUAUUAGGCAAAUCCGGUACUCGUUAAGGCUGAGCUGUGAUGGGGAGAAGACAUUGUGUCUUCGAGUCGUUGAUUUCACACUGCCGAGAAAAGCCUCUAGAUAGAAAAUAGGUGCCCGUACCGCAAACCGACACAGGUAGUCAAGAUGAGAAUUCUAAGGUGAGCGAGCGAACUCUCGUUAAGGAACUCGGCAAAAUGACCCCGUAACUUCGGGAGAAGGGGUGCUCUUUAGGGUUAACGCCCAGAAGAGCCGCAGUGAAUAGGCCCAAGCGACUGUUUAUCAAAAACACAGGUCUCUGCUAAACCGUAAGGUGAUGUAUAGGGGCUGACGCCUGCCCGGUGCUGGAAGGUUAAGAGGAGUGGUUAGCUUCUGCGAAGCUACGAAUCGAAGCCCCAGUAAACGGCGGCCGUAACUAUAACGGUCCUAAGGUA